This is a non-coding RNA of Gasterosteus aculeatus aculeatus (three-spined stickleback), 782 nucleotides long. The record is from RefSeq and is a predicted model, not a curated record. Lineage: Eukaryota; Metazoa; Chordata; Actinopteri; Perciformes; Gasterosteidae.
GGAAGAACAGGCGUGUUUAUCGCUCUGGACCACGUUAUUCAGCACGUCAGAGAUCACGACUUUGUGGAUGUCUAUGGCCUCGUGGCGGAGCUCCGCAGUGAGAGGAUGUGUAUGGUACAGAAUCUGGCCCAGUACAUCUUCCUGCACCAAAGUACACUGGAACUUCUAAACAACAAAGGCAACAGCCAAUCCAUCUGGUUUGUCAGCUAUUCAGCUCUGGAGAAGAUGGACUCCCUCGAUGCCAUGGAAGGUGAUGUUGAGCUGGAAUGGGAAGAGACCACCAUGUAAAAGGCUGACUGAGGGGAUACCGUUGCCUGGGUGAGAGUGAGGCCUCUAGGGAAGACUCUGGACCAGCCGCCUCCACCACACAAAGCCGGGGGGAGGAGGAGGAGGUGGAGGAGGAGGAGAAAGAGGAUGUGAACGGCAAUGUUUGAACUGAGCUGUCAGUCAACUAAGACUUUGUUGCUCCAUUUCACCCUGCUUCUCAGUUGCAGUCCUCCAUUUAAUCAACUUCUUGUCCACUUGUUUUCAAAUCGAGUAAAAACAAAAGGCAGAUAGUGACAAAGAAUUUCAGAAAUUGUGGGAAGAAAAGAGUAAAGCAGUGAGCUGACAUUUGUAAGCCUAUAAUUUGAUUUCACUGAGUAUUGUAAGUAUUAUAUUGAUAUUACCUAUGUUUAUUCAGCCAAAAUGGUGUUUUAGUUUCAAUCUUGUUUUAAUUCUGACUAUGUUGAAGUGUUGGCAGCAUUUCUAUAUUGUUUAUGCUUUCUUAAGAGUGAUUUGCA